GAUUGAUUUGAAGAUCUCUCCUCAUGCCAUACCACGUAUAUAAUUAAAAUUCUAAAAUCACUUGCAUUCAAACUGAUCAAUGCUACGGGGCAUGAACUAAAAGAGGCUAAACUCUCACCUCUCUCUUUCUUUCUCUCUCAGUUGGUGUCGUGGAUACAGUCUAUGAGAUUCCGGUUCUUUUUCCAGUCCCGUAUUAGAAGGUUGAAUUUUCUUUUGCUUGAGUAGUUUGUGUAAUGAAGGGAGGGACUGAUCUUUGAGGUUGGAGAAGCAUUCCCGAUCGUCUCAGGCCUAAGACUUCCAAAGCCUAUCAGCCCACCUUGCCUUUCAGCCUAAUCCGUCUUGGACGUAAUCCUUCUUUCGGUUUGAGCGAGGGAG
This 375-nucleotide unclassified non-coding RNA is filed under the name Hevea brasiliensis (rubber tree). Lineage: Eukaryota; Viridiplantae; Streptophyta; Magnoliopsida; Malpighiales; Euphorbiaceae. The record is from RNAcentral.